Molecule: ribosomal RNA, 1535 nt
Filed under: Escherichia coli
Lineage: Bacteria; Pseudomonadati; Pseudomonadota; Gammaproteobacteria; Enterobacterales; Enterobacteriaceae
Description: bacterial SSU rRNA
Rfam family: Bacterial small subunit ribosomal RNA
Source: RNAcentral
UUGAAGAGUUUGAUCAUGGCUCAGAUUGAACGCUGGCGGCAGGCCUAACACAUGCAAGUCGAACGGUAACAGGAAACAGCUUGCUGUUUCGCUGACGAGUGGCGGACGGGUGAGUAAUGUCUGGGAAACUGCCUGAUGGAGGGGGAUAACUACUGGAAACGGUAGCUAAUACCGCAUAACGUCGCAAGACCAAAGAGGGGGACCUUAGGGCCUCUUGCCAUCGGAUGUGCCCAGAUGGGAUUAGCUAGUAGGUGGGGUAAAGGCUCACCUAGGCGACGAUCCCUAGCUGGUCUGAGAGGAUGACCAGCCACACUGGAACUGAGACACGGUCCAGACUCCUACGGGAGGCAGCAGUGGGGAAUAUUGCACAAUGGGCGCAAGCCUGAUGCAGCCAUGCCGCGUGUAUGAAGAAGGCCUUCGGGUUGUAAAGUACUUUCAGCGGGGAGGAAGGGAGUAAAGUUAAUACCUUUGCUCAUUGACGUUACCCGCAGAAGAAGCACCGGCUAACUCCGUGCCAGCAGCCGCGGUAAUACGGAGGGUGCAAGCGUUAAUCGGAAUUACUGGGCGUAAAGCGCACGCAGGCGGUUUGUUAAGUCAGAUGUGAAAUCCCGGGCUCAACCUGGGAACUGCAUCUGAUACUGGCAAGCUUGAGUCUCGUAGAGGGGGGUAGAAUUCCAGGUGUAGCGGUGAAAUGCGUAGAGAUCUGGAGGAAUACCGGUGGCGAAGGCGGCCCCCUGGACGAAGACUGACGCUCAGGUGCGAAAGCGUGGGGAGCAAACAGGAUUAGAUACCCUGGUAGUCCACGCCGUAAACGAUGUCGACUUGGAGGUUGUGCCCUUGAGGCGUGGCUUCCGGAGCUAACGCGUUAAGUCGACCGCCUGGGGAGUACGGCCGCAAGGUUAAAACUCAAAUGAAUUGACGGGGCCCGCACAAGCGGUGGAGCAUGUGGUUUAAUUCGAUGCAACGCGAAGAACCUUACCUGGUCUUGACAUCCACGGAAGUUUUCAGAGAUGAGAAUGUGCCUUCGGGAACCGUGAGACAGGUGCUGCAUGGCUGUCGUCAGCUCGUGUUGUGAAAUGUUGGGUUAAGUCCCGCAACGAGCGCAACCCUUAUCCUUUGUUGCCAGCGGUCCGGCCGGGAACUCAAAGGAGACUGCCAGUGAUAAACUGGAGGAAGGUGGGGAUGACGUCAAGUCAUCAUGGCCCUUACGACCAGGGCUACACACGUGCUACAAUGGCGCAUACAAAGAGAAGCGACCUCGCGAGAGCAAGCGGACCUCAUAAAGUGCGUCGUAGUCCGGAUUGAGUCUGCAACUCGACUCCAUGAAGUCGGAAUCGCUAGUAAUCGUGGAUCAGAAUGCCACGGUGAAUACGUUCCCGGGCCUUGUACACACCGCCCGUCACACCAUGGGAGUGGGUUGCAAAAGAAGUAGGUAGCUUAACCUUCGGGAGGGCGCUUACCACUUUGUGAUUCAUGACUGGGGUGAAGUCGUAACAAGGUAACCGUAGGGGAACCUGCGGUUGGAUCACCUCCUU